This 277-nucleotide unclassified non-coding RNA is filed under the name uncultured fungus. Its description in RNAcentral is "partial contains small subunit ribosomal RNA, internal transcribed spacer 1, and 5.8S ribosomal RNA". The stretch from base 1 to 73 matches the Rfam family "Eukaryotic small subunit ribosomal RNA", at positions 1759 to 1831 of the family's 1831-position model. Lineage: Eukaryota; Fungi. The record is from RNAcentral.
ACAAACUUGGUCAUUUAGAGGAAGUAAAAGUCGUAACAAGGUCUCCGUAGGUGAACCUGCGGAGGGAUCAUUGAUGAAAACACUGGUCGAUGUGCUGGCAAACCAAGCAUGUGCACUCGAUCAAAAUCCAUCCCACACCUGUGAACCUUUAAGACCGAGCCCCUCGUUGGGAACGGUCCUUUUUACACGCUUGUCCACGAAUGUCAUUUUGCUUUGGCAAUCUUGUACAACUUUCAACGACGGAUCUCUUGGCUCUCGCAUCGAUGAAGAACGCAGC